GGGCAGGUGGCGGAGUGGUCGAACGUGGCGGUCUCGAAAACCGUUGAACCGAGAGGUUCCCAGGGUUCGAAUCCCUGUCUGCCCGCCA
Molecule: transfer RNA, 88 nt
Filed under: Octadecabacter sp.
Lineage: Bacteria; Pseudomonadati; Pseudomonadota; Alphaproteobacteria; Rhodobacterales; Roseobacteraceae
Description: tRNA-Ser
Rfam family: tRNA
About the family: Transfer RNA (tRNA) molecules are approximately 80 nucleotides in length. Their secondary structure includes four short double-helical elements and three loops (D, anti-codon, and T loops). Further hydrogen bonds mediate the characteristic L-shaped molecular structure. tRNAs have two regions of fundamental functional importance: the anti-codon, which is responsible for specific mRNA codon recognition, and the 3' end, to which the tRNAs corresponding amino acid is attached (by aminoacyl-tRNA synthetases). tRNAs cope with the degeneracy of the genetic code in two manners: having more than one tRNA (with a specific anti-codon) for a particular amino acid; and 'wobble' base-pairing, i.e. permitting non-standard base-pairing at the 3rd anti-codon position.
Source: RNAcentral